RNAcentral lists this ribosomal RNA (468 nucleotides) under uncultured bacterium. RNAcentral's name for it is "partial 16S ribosomal RNA". It matches the Rfam family "Bacterial small subunit ribosomal RNA", at positions 28 to 507 of the family's 1533-position model. The record is from RNAcentral.
GACGAACGCUGGCGGCGUGCUUAACACAUGCAAGUCGAACGGAAAGGCCCUGCUUUUGUGGGGUGCUCGAGUGGCGAACGGGUGAGUAACACGUGAGUAACCUGCCCUUGACUUUGGGAUAACUUCAGGAAACUGGGGCUAAUACCGGAUAGGAGCUCCUGCUGCAUGGUGGGGGUUGGAAAGUUUCGGCGGUGGGGGAUGGACUCGCGGCUUAUCAGCUGGUUGGUGGGGUAGUGGCUUACCAAGGCUUUGACGGGUAGCCGGCCUGGGAGGGUGACCGGCCACAUUGGGACUGAGGUACGGCCCAGAAUCCUACGGGAGGCAGCAGUGGGGAAUAUUGCACAAUGGGCGGAAGCCUGAUGCAGCAACGCCGCGUGCGGGAUGACGGCCUUCGGGUUGUAAACCGCUUUCGCCUGUGACGAAGCGUGAGUGACGGUAAUGGGUAAAGAAGCACCGGCUAACUACGUG